GUCGACGCUCCGCCGCUGCGGGGCGUGGCGCACGGCUGAGUAACACGUGGCUAACCUACCCUCGGGAGGGGGAUAACCUCUCGGGAAACUGGGGCUAAUCCCCCAUAGGCGGGGAGGCCUGGAAGGGUUCUCCGCCGAAAGGGGGCGUGGGGGGUUAUCGCCUGCGCCCCGCCCGAGGAUGGGGCCGCGGCCUAUCAGGUUGCUGGCGGGGUAAUGGCCCGCCAGGCCUACGACGGGUAGGGGCCGUGAGAGCGGGAGCCCCCAGAUGGGCACUGAGACAAGGGCCCAGGCCCUACGGGGCGCACCAGGCGCGAAAACUCCGCAAUGCGGGCAACCGUGACGGGGCUACCCCGAGUGCCCCCCUUGAGGGGGCUUUUCCUCGCUGUAAGGAGGCGGGGGAAUAAGCGGGGGGCAAGUCUGGUGUCAGCCGCCGCGGUAAUACCAGCCCCGCGAGUGGUCGGGGUGAUUAUUGGGCCUAAAGCGGCCGUAGCCGGCCCGGUAAGUCCCCCCUGAAAGCCCCGGGCUCAACCUGGGGAGCGGGGGGAUACUGCCGGGCUAGGGGGCGGGAGAGGCCGAGGGUACUCCCGGGGUAGGGGCGAAAUCCAAUAAUCCCGGGAGGACCACCAGUGGCGAAGGCGCUCGGCUGGAACGCGCCCGACGGUGAGGGCCGAAAGCCGGGGGAGCGAACCGGAUUAGAUACCCGGGUAGUCCCGGCUGUAAACGAUGCGGGCUAGGUGUUGGGCGGGCGAGAGA
This 753-nucleotide ribosomal RNA is filed under the name uncultured archaeon. RNAcentral's name for it is "partial 16S ribosomal RNA". It matches the Rfam family "Archaeal small subunit ribosomal RNA", at positions 57 to 788 of the family's 1478-position model. The record is from RNAcentral.